UAUCACACUAAUAGAGUGAAA
Molecule: non-coding RNA, 21 nt
Filed under: Caenorhabditis elegans
Lineage: Eukaryota; Metazoa; Nematoda; Chromadorea; Rhabditida; Rhabditidae
Source: RNAcentral